Dipodomys ordii (Ord's kangaroo rat) is the source of this 280-nucleotide unclassified non-coding RNA. Its record names the gene 7SK. It matches the Rfam family "7SK RNA". Rfam says of the family: 7SK was discovered as an abundant small nuclear RNA in the mid-70s but a possible function has only recently been suggested. Two independent studies have found that 7SK RNA binds the CDK9/cyclin T complex (known as elongation factor P-TEFb). The record is from Ensembl. Lineage: Eukaryota; Metazoa; Chordata; Mammalia; Rodentia; Heteromyidae.
AGAUGUGAGCGAUAUCUGGUUGCUAUGGCUGUUACCCCACUGAUGGCUAAUGUGGCUGGCUAGUCAGCACUCCACAUGUGUAUGUGUGAUCCUCCUGAAGCUUUGUGCUCAGUUGAGGAUGACUACCCUUGAAAGAGGAUGAUGGUUCUUCGGUCAAGGGUAUAUGAGUAGCUCCUCUCUUUUGCUAGAAUCUCCACACGUGCUCUCAAGAAUGAGUCUCUAAAAAAACAAAAGUCCCUAUGGCUUUUGCUGUGUUGGCUUUGGGAAGGCUCAAUCCCUG